Long non-coding RNA from Lucilia cuprina (Australian sheep blowfly), 413 nucleotides. RefSeq lists it as uncharacterized. The record is from RefSeq and is a predicted model, not a curated record. The transcript is spliced from 2 exons. NCBI's taxonomy places the organism in Eukaryota, Metazoa, Arthropoda, Insecta, Diptera, Calliphoridae.
GUGUUUAUUUAUAAAGCAAGUUCAAGCGAUAUGAACUUGUUUUUAGUUAUACCUCCCUCAUACUUUUUCUUCUUUUUCAGAUAUCCAUUGUGAUGGUUACGUUCCUCGGAAAUCAUCAAAAAGUUUUUUUUUUAAAUUUAAUAAUUUGAUGAUGAUCAACUUAUAAAUAUACAUAAUAUAAUUAAAAUAUUUAUUAAUCGGCUCAGUUAAUUCAAAAAAUAAAUAUUGUGAAAUUAAACAAAUAUUAAAAAUGUGAAAUAUUAAAACUAGUGAAUACGCAAUAAAAUUUAACGGAAACAAAAAAUAUUGAGCAUAUAAAUACCACACAAAAUGACCAAUUUAUAUACAUACAAAUUACAUAUAUCAUUAUAGUAUAUAUUUAUGCAAAAAUAUCACAUUUGACAAAACGUAAA